UUAGUUUGAUUCUGGCUCAGGAUGAACGCUGGCGGCGUGCCUAAUACAUGCAAGUCGAGCGAACUGAUUAGAAGCUUGCUUCUAUGACGUUAGCGGCGGACGGGUGAGUAACACGUGGGCAACCUGCCUGUAAGACUGGGAUAACUUCGGGAAACCGAAGCUAAUACCGGAUAGGAUCUUCUCCUUCAUGGGAGAUGAUUGAAAGAUGGUUUCGGCUAUCACUUACAGAUGGGCCCGCGGUGCAUUAGCUAGUUGGUGAGGUAACGGCUCACCAAGGCAACGAUGCAUAGCCGACCUGAGAGGGUGAUCGGCCACACUGGGACUGAGACACGGCCCAGACUCCUACGGGAGGCAGCAGUAGGGAAUCUUCCGCAAUGGACGAAAGUCUGACGGAGCAACGCCGCGUGAGUGAUGAAGGCUUUCGGGUCGUAAAACUCUGUUGUUAGGGAAGAACAAGUACGAGAGUAACUGCUCGUACCUUGACGGUACCUAACCAGAAAGCCACGGCUAACUACGUGCCAGCAGCCGCGGUAAUACGUAGGUGGCAAGCGUUAUCCGGAAUUAUUGGGCGUAAAGCGCGCGCAGGCGGUUUCUUAAGUCUGAUGUGAAAGCCCACGGCUCAACCGUGGAGGGUCAUUGGAAACUGGGGAACUUGAGUGCAGAAGAGAAAAGCGGAAUUCCACGUGUAGCGGUGAAAUGCGUAGAGAUGUGGAGGAACACCAGUGGCGAAGGCGGCUUUUUGGUCUGUAACUGACGCUGAGGCGCGAAAGCGGGGGGAGCAAACAGGAUUAGAUACCUGGGUAGUCCAAA
RNAcentral lists this ribosomal RNA (810 nucleotides) under Bacillus thuringiensis. Its description in RNAcentral is "bacterial SSU rRNA". It matches the Rfam family "Bacterial small subunit ribosomal RNA", at positions 1 to 799 of the family's 1533-position model. The record is from RNAcentral. Lineage: Bacteria; Bacillati; Bacillota; Bacilli; Caryophanales; Bacillaceae.